GGGCCCGCACAAGCGGUGGAGCAUGUGGUUUAAUUCGAUGCAACGCGAAGAACCUUACCAGGUCUUGACAUGUCACUUUUUUCUUGAAAAAGAAAGUUCCCGAGUGAACACAGGUGGUGCAUGGCUGUCGUCAGCUCGUGUCUUGAGAUGUUGGGUUAAGUCCCGCAACGAGCGCAACCCUUAUUCUGUGUUGCUAUUUAUAGGAAACUCAGAAGACUGCCGGUGAUAAGCCGGAGGAAGGUGAGGAUGACGUCAAGUCAGCAUGCCCCUUACGACCUGGGCCACACACGUGCUACAAUGGCCGGGACAAAGAGAUGCAAUCUCGCGAGAGCAAGCUAACCUCAAAAAACCCGGUCUUAGUUCGGAUUGUAGGCUGAAACUCGCCUACAUGAAGCUGGAAUCGCUAGUAAUCGCAGGU
Molecule: ribosomal RNA, 418 nt
Filed under: uncultured bacterium
Lineage: Bacteria
Description: bacterial SSU rRNA
Rfam family: Bacterial small subunit ribosomal RNA
Source: RNAcentral